RNAcentral lists this ribosomal RNA (310 nucleotides) under uncultured bacterium. Its description in RNAcentral is "bacterial SSU rRNA". It matches the Rfam family "Bacterial small subunit ribosomal RNA", at positions 30 to 334 of the family's 1533-position model. The record is from RNAcentral.
AUUGAACGCUGGCGGCAUGCCUAACACAUGCAAGUCGAACGGAAACGAUGGAAGCUUGCUUCCAGGCGUCGAGUGGCGGACGGGUGAGUAAUGCUUAGGAAUUUGCCCAGUAGUGGGGGACAACCCGGGGAAACUCGGGCUAAUACCGCAUACGCCCUACGGGGGAAAGCGGAGGAUCUUUCGGGACUUCGCGCUAUUGGAUGAGCCUAAGUCGGAUUAGCUUGUUGGUGAGGUAAAGGCUCACCAAGGCGACGAUCCGUAGCUGGUCUGAGAGGACGAUCAGCCACACUGGGACUGAGACACGGCCCAG